GAUUCCUCUUCCUCUGAAGAGAAUGACUUGUAGUGAGACACGUCAUGGUAGUGCAAACAUGUCCUCUAGCUCCAGGAAACUUGGAGGUGACUGUUGAAUGAAGAGGAAAAGUCACAAGGAGCUGGCUACUUCUGUUGAAUCAGCCACUGCCCAGAGCUGCUGGGUGUACAAAUUGUGGAAACCAAGAUGAUACCUCGGUACAGACACACAGGCAGCACUGCCCUCUUUCAUUGUGUCCAUGGUGAUGGUCAUCCCUCCAGACAUACUUCCAGUAGCACUAAGCCUGGGAAAGAAGGCACAGGACAUAAGCCCUGACAUCCAACCAUCAUCUCUCAACAGAAACACACCCUUCCUGUUAGAGAAUCUUUGGAAACAGAUAAAACAGUCAACAGGUUUAAGAUGACAAGGUUGACCUCCAACUUAGUGCCAACAUGACUUGAUGGAGAAGAUGCUUCUACUCAACCCAGUAAACUUAUCUGUUUUUGGUCUUUUGUGUGAGAGAAAAAUAAAUUAUGUUUUU
Molecule: non-coding RNA, 520 nt
Organism: Equus caballus (horse)
Lineage: Eukaryota; Metazoa; Chordata; Mammalia; Perissodactyla; Equidae
Source: RefSeq, a predicted model, not a curated record